Molecule: transfer RNA, 87 nt
Filed under: Monimopetalum chinense
Lineage: Eukaryota; Viridiplantae; Streptophyta; Magnoliopsida; Celastrales; Celastraceae
Description: tRNA-Ser
Source: RNAcentral
AUAUAUAUAAAAAUUAAUCUUGAUAUUUUCCUUCUCUUUCGAAUUUGUCAAACCCUCCUGGUUUUUCUUUAUAUAUAUAAAAAUUAA